This is a long non-coding RNA of Magnolia sinica, 224 nucleotides long. RefSeq lists it as uncharacterized. The record is from RefSeq and is a predicted model, not a curated record. The transcript is spliced from 3 exons. NCBI's taxonomy places the organism in Eukaryota, Viridiplantae, Streptophyta, Magnoliopsida, Magnoliales, Magnoliaceae.
ACAAAUAUUUACCUGUGCUUACUUAUUAUUUCUACAGAUUUUGGACUCCAUAAUUUCACAUGGAUGCUUCUUAAGGGAAUGCAGUGUUGAACAUUCCAUAGUUGGGACACACUCAACAUUGAAGUAUGGGUCUCAACUGAAAAAUCCCUUCAAAUGGAGUUCAAAAUAGCAAUAUAUUAAGGGGAAAGGAAGUGCAUUUUGUGCUGCUGGUGGUGAUGUUCUAA